UACGGAGGGUGCGAGCGUUGUCCGGAAUCAUUGGGCGUAAAGGGCGCGUAGGUGGCCCGGUCAGUCUUUGGUGAAAGCGCGGGGCUCAACCCUGCGUCGGCCAGGGAUACUGCCGCGGCUGGAGCACUGUAGAGGCAGGCGGAAUUCCGGGUGUAGCGGUGGAAUGCGUAGAGAUCCGGAAGAACACCGGUGGCGAGGGCGGCCUGCUGGGCAGUUGCUGACACUGAGGCGCGACAGCGUGGGGAGCAAACAGG
RNAcentral lists this ribosomal RNA (254 nucleotides) under uncultured bacterium. RNAcentral's name for it is "partial 16S ribosomal RNA". It matches the Rfam family "Bacterial small subunit ribosomal RNA", at positions 524 to 776 of the family's 1533-position model. The record is from RNAcentral.